CAGCCGCCGCGGUAAUACCGGCGGCCCGAGUGGCGGCCGUGUUUAUUGGGCCUAAAGGGUCCGUAGCCGGCCCCGUAAGUCUCCCGGGAAAUCGGGCGGCUCAACCGUCCGCUUCCGGGAGAUACUGCGGGGCUAGGGACCGGGAGAGGCCGGGGGUACUCCCGGGGUAGGGGUAAAAUCCUAUAAUCCCGGGGGGACCACCUGUGGCGAAGGCGCCCGGCUGGAACGGGUCCGACGGUGAGGGGCGAAGGCCGGGGGAGCAAACCGGAUUAGAUACCCGGGUAGUCCUGGCUGUAAAGGAUGCGGGCUAGGUGUCGGGUGAGCUUCGAGCUCGCCCGGUGCCGUAGGGAAGCCGUUAAGCCCGCCGCCUGGGGAGUACGGCCGCAAGGCUGAAACUUAAAGGAAAUGGCGGG
This 413-nucleotide ribosomal RNA is filed under the name uncultured microorganism. RNAcentral describes it as "bacterial SSU rRNA". It matches the Rfam family "Archaeal small subunit ribosomal RNA", at positions 459 to 872 of the family's 1478-position model. The record is from RNAcentral.